AACGAACGCUGGCGGCAGGCCUAAUACAUGCAAGUCAAGGGGUAGCAAUACACCGGCGGACGGGUGCGUAACGCGUACACAACAUACCUUUAAGCGGGGGAUAGCAUUGGGAAACUGGUGGUAAUACCCCAUAACAUUGCGAGUUGGCAUUAACUUGCAAUUAAAGUUUCGGCGCUUAAAGAUUGGUGUGCGUCUGAUUAGCUAGUUGGCGGGUAACGGCCCACCAAGGCGACGAUCAGUAGGGGGUGUGAGAGCAUGACCCCCCACAUGGGUACUGAGACACGGACCCAACUCCUACGGGAGGCAGCAGUAAGGAAUAUUGGACAAUGGGCGGAAGCCUGAUCCAGCCAUGCCGCGUGAAGGAUGAAGGCGCUCAGCGUUGUAAACUUCUUUUGGAUGGGGACAAUAAUCUCGAUUUAUCGGGACUUGAGGGUACCAUCAGAAUAAGCACCGGCUAACUCCGUGCCAGCAGCCGCGGU
Molecule: ribosomal RNA, 479 nt
Filed under: uncultured bacterium
Lineage: Bacteria
Description: bacterial SSU rRNA
Rfam family: Bacterial small subunit ribosomal RNA
Source: RNAcentral